AUUCUGGUUGCCUUACCCAGCUCUGAAGUCUGUCAGCCUCUUCAGAUGUCACUUGCCAUGUGGUAAGGAAGUGUAGUCAGCAGCUGGUGCAGUGGGAAGAAGAGAAAGGAAGUUCCCCAAGACAAAAACAUCUCGGCAGACCGUGAUCAUGGGCUACAUUCUCCGUACCAGCUUCAUAGCUCCAGUGAGAAAAUAAAUUCCUGCAUCCAGGAGAUGUGGAGUAAGAGAUACAGCUGCCCUUGACCAUAUUUCUUACUUCCGAGAAGAUCGUAGCAGUAAUUCAGUACAGUCUUCAGGGAACACCAAGGCCUGUUUGAUUUUCCAAGUAUCAACAAGUGGAGUUGACAAGAGUGACAAGUGGUCAGAGCAAAGCAUUUCAUGAUGACUGUAACGUGCCUGUGUCAGCAGCGACUGCUUACAGUGAGAUUCACAUGACCAUCGUUUAUGACAUAGGAAGAAUAAAAGGAGAGAGAGAGAGAAAGAUAGGUAGUUGAUCAAAAUGAAGAAUUGGAUUUGGAAAGCAACUUCGAAUAGUCUCUGCUUAUAUUUCUGAGAUUAAGGCAAACAGUCUCAAGAAUCUCAUCCAGGAUACCUCAUCACAGGCUGGAGUGCAGUGUCAUGAGCUUGGCUCACUACAGCCUCCAUCUUCUGUGCUUAAGGAUCCUUCCCUCUCAACCUCCAAGGUAGCUGAGACUACAGGCAACAUUCGAAACCCAGGUGCCACUCCUUCAGGAAGGUACCAUCAAGCUCCAAGGACUCAUCCUCUUUCUCCUUCCCCACUACCUAGUCAUUAGAGCGUCAGCAUCCACUUCCUGAAAGGAAGAUGCCUGUUUUUCACAUAUCCCAGAAAGCCUCAUUUUAGGACAGCAUUUAGCAGAGUGUAUUCAGGAUCCCACUAACCUUUUCGGAAGACAUGACUUCCAGAUGAUAUAAGGCAAGAAUAAGAAAUUUCAGUGACAGGGAACAGAAAUCAUAUUUCUGCAUUCAGGAUCAUGUUUUCUUGGCUCCAUCAGGAACUGUGCAGGACUGUGCACUCUGUUGAUACUCACAUGGUGGAAUUAUAUUGCCCUUGGCCAACCCUAAAGCCAUCAAGAUAGCAGCAACUACUCUAUCAUUACUGUACCACCACCUGUAUGGAUCUCGUUGCCCAUAUGAAACUGAGUAAGGAACAAUGUGCAUCACACUCACAGAGAAAGAUGGACAAGUUUGGAAUAAUUCACUGUCGAAGUCUUCUUGAGCUGAGCAGUCAUGUGAGCUUGGAAGAUGAUCCCUCUCCAGCUGAUCCUUCAGCUCAGGCCAUCAUCUACAUCUGGAUUCCUGACCCGGAGAAACUAUGAGUAAUGUGUGCUGCUUUUGAGCCACUAAGCUACAUGAAUUAAUGAAGGAUCAUUAUUAAGUUUUUAAUGGGUCAAGAGAAAGUUACCACUGAGGUCUUCUCUACCUGGGCAACAAUUGACUCCUAACAACCACUAUAAGCUUGGAAGAUGAUCCCUCCCCAGCUGAUCCUUCAGGUCCUUGGAAAAAACUCAACCAAUUGUCAACCAGAAAAUGCUUAAAUUUAUCUAUAGCCUGUAACCCCACCCCCCACUCCCUACCCUGCUUCAAGCUGUCCUGCCUUUCUGGAACAAACCAAUGUAUUCCUUAAACAUAUUUGAUUGCUGUCUCAUGCUUCCCUAAAAUGUAUAAAACCAAGCUGUACCCCAACCACCUUGGGCACAUGUUCUCAGGACUUCCUGAGGGCUGUGUCAUGGGCCAUGGUCACUCAUAUUUUGCUCAGAA
Molecule: long non-coding RNA, 1779 nt
Filed under: Homo sapiens (human)
Lineage: Eukaryota; Metazoa; Chordata; Mammalia; Primates; Hominidae
Description: HSALNT0379994
Source: RNAcentral